This is a non-coding RNA of Python bivittatus (Burmese python), 363 nucleotides long. Lineage: Eukaryota; Metazoa; Chordata; Lepidosauria; Squamata; Pythonidae. The record is from RefSeq and is a predicted model, not a curated record.
AGAAUGCCAGCCGCAGGAUCCACAGGUGCCACAGCCUCAUGGAAACACGUUGCGAGCCCUCUUGAGAAAAUGAACAGCAUAGCGUGGCCGCUCACAAACCGCUCGCUUCCCAGGAGGUAUGUCAAAGGGGUCAGUGCACCUUUGGGCUGCAAGGUUUUCCAAGGUGUGGAGGCUAUGACAUCUGAAGAGCAGAAAAUGGGAGAAACACAGAGAACAGGAAACAGAAUGAACCAAUCAGGGCAUCUUCUCCAGCUGACCCAUAGGAGACUGUAAAAAUGUCACUCAACCAGGGCUCUGUUCCAAGCUAGCGCAGGUCCUGGAGCAACAAGAAUCCUGUUACAUCUCUCCUCCGUCACAUACAAU